GACAUAUAAUUGGAUGAACGCUCAGUUUCAAACCACAAUAUUUUUACUUCUCUUUAAAAAUGAAACGCAAUAUGCUUAAUUCAUGUUGAAACUAUGGACAAAUUAGAGCAUUCAUUAAGGAAGGAGAUCAAUCAUUUGACACUGCCCAGAAUAGGAAGCCGGUCAACCCAAUAGCAACAAGGAAGCGGACAGCCCACAUGAUAUGAUCUUCAUGGGCCAAAUCACAAUCUUUGAAGAUGACUGAGUGAAUACAGAAAUGAAGGUACAUAAAACAGUCAACUUACUACCUUAAUGCAUAUGUGCCAUAUGUUUCCUGUGCGGUUCUUCUGUGGAUCCAAUGCUAAUUCAAUCACUCCAUCAUGAAUACUGUCAGGCAUUCCCAUAAAAUGUAUAUUGACUCAGCAUGCUUUAUGCAGAUGUACAUAUGAAAUACAAGAAAAAAUGAGUACGACCUCACCAAGGAUAGUAUUCGCCCUGGCA
RNAcentral lists this long non-coding RNA (480 nucleotides) under Capsicum annuum. RNAcentral's name for it is "long non-coding RNA (CANN_LNC011145)". The record is from RNAcentral. Lineage: Eukaryota; Viridiplantae; Streptophyta; Magnoliopsida; Solanales; Solanaceae.